GCAGUCGCCGCGGUAAUACAGAGGGUGCGAGCGUUAAUCGGAUUUACUGGGCGUAAAGCGUGCGUAGGCGGCUUUUUAAGUCGGAUGUGAAAUCCCUGAGCUUAACUUAGGAAUUGCAUUCGAUACUGGGAAGCUAGAGUAUGGGAGAGGAUGGUAGAAUUCCAGGUGUAGCGGUGAAAUGCGUAGAGAUCUGGAGGAAUACCGAUGGCGAAGGCAGCCAUCUGGCCUAAUACUGACGCUGAGGUACGAAAGCAUGGGGAGCAAACAGGAUUAGAUACCCCCGUAGUCCCUGUCUCUUAUAA
RNAcentral lists this ribosomal RNA (302 nucleotides) under uncultured bacterium. RNAcentral describes it as "partial 16S ribosomal RNA". It matches the Rfam family "Bacterial small subunit ribosomal RNA", at positions 508 to 809 of the family's 1533-position model. The record is from RNAcentral.